AGAGUUUGAUCAUGGCUCAGAACGAACGCUGGCGGCGUGGAUAAGACAUGCAAGUCGGACGAGAUUUUCCGUUGUAGCAAUACGAUGGAAAGUCUAGUGGCGAACGGGUGCUUAACACGUGGGCAAUCUGUCUUAAAGUGGGGGAUAGCUCGGCGAAAGCCGAAUUAAUACCGCAUGUGAUUAGAGUGGACAUCCAUUCAAAAUUAAAGGUGGCGCAAGCUACCGCUUUUUUGAGGAGCCCGCGGCCUAUCAGCUUGUUGGUGAGGUAACGGCUCACCAAGGCUUUGACGGGUAGCUGGUCUGAGAGGACGACCAGCCACACUGGGACUGAGACACGGCCCAGACACCUACGGGUGGCAGCAGUCGAGAAUUUUUCUCAAUGGGGGAAACCCUGAAGGAGCGACGCCGCGUGGAGGAUGAAGGUCUUCGGAUUGUAAACUCCUGUCAUUGGGGAACAAGUCGCUUACGUUAACUGCGUGAGCGUUGAUAGUACCCGAAGAGGAAGAGACGGCUAACUCUGUGCCAGCAGCCGCGGUAAUACAGAGGUCUCAAGCGUUGUUCGGAUUCAUUGGGCGUAAAGGGUGCGUAGGCGGCGCGGUAAGUCGGGUGUGAAAUCUUGGAGCUUAACUCCGAAACUGCAUUCGAUCUGCCGUGCUUGAGGACUGGAGAGGAGACUGGAAUUUACGGUGUAGCGGUGAAAUGCGUAGAUAUCGUAAGGAAGACCAGUGGCGAAGGCGGGUCUCUGGACAGUUCCUGACGCUGAGGCACGAAGGCCAGGGGAGCAAACGGGAUUAGAUACCCUAGUAGUCC
RNAcentral lists this ribosomal RNA (810 nucleotides) under uncultured bacterium. Its description in RNAcentral is "bacterial SSU rRNA". It matches the Rfam family "Bacterial small subunit ribosomal RNA", at positions 8 to 796 of the family's 1533-position model. The record is from RNAcentral.